This is a long non-coding RNA of Cannabis sativa, 2800 nucleotides long. RefSeq lists it as uncharacterized. The record is from RefSeq and is a predicted model, not a curated record. The transcript is spliced from 4 exons. Lineage: Eukaryota; Viridiplantae; Streptophyta; Magnoliopsida; Rosales; Cannabaceae.
AGCAGCUAGCUUUAACACACACAAACCCUAAACUCCCAAAAGCUAAACCUAAAAUCGAUCUAUCGCAGCUUAUUCCUAAAUUCCUAAAUUCCUAAACCUGAUAUCGAUCGUGCCGCCUAAAUUCCUAAACCUAAAAUCGCUCUCAGUCUCUCCCUCUCGUCUGGUUACAAAGUCUGGUUACAAAGUAUGGAGCAGGAAAUCUAAACUAGAAACCAACAUAGUUGCAUUUGGGGGUGUGGCGGUGGGAGGAGUUGCGAUUGGCGGUGGGAGGAGUUGCGAUUGUGAGUACAAAGUAUGGAGCAGGAAAUACAUAUUAUUUGAAGCUUUCGAGAUAGAAGAUACGAGUACAAAGGACUUAAUAAGGCCUGGAAAGGAAAAUUGUCUGAAGCCAAAGCUACUGGAAAUUCUAUUAAAAUCCAAGAGGCACAGGUAUGGAAAAUUCAUAUGCUUGUUUGAGCGUUUGUAUACAAUAAGCAUCACACCAUGUUGAGGAUGAUUGUUGAUACUGACUUUGAACCUUGAAACUUGCGUUGUUGUUUGCUUACUGCUCUUUAUGAUUCGUUACAACUUGCUCAUAAGUGCAUUCUUAAUUCCUUUUAUGGAUAUGUCAUGCGCAAGUGAGUUAUAUAGUGAUUUCCUUUUUUUCCUAACUACAAAAUAUAUAUACCUUUUACUAAUGCUUUUCCUGGUCUUACAGGGGUGCACGAUGGUACUCUAUGGAAAUGGCUGGAGUGGUUAUAUAGUGGUUACCUUUUAUUAAUUUAUUCAUUUAGAAAAAAAGAAACAGAAAGCGAAUUUGCAAAGGAGCAAUUUAAGCUUGAUUGUUUGACAAAAACCUGCUACUAACACUUUUCUCUUAACAGACCUUGACAGAUCCCUUGGCCAAAUCUUAUACAACUCAUAGUGAAUGCUCAAUUGAAUUUGAAGUGGAUGGGCCAUACAAGGCGAAGAACGGCAGCUCAGGCAGAUUCGACAACGCGUGACAAAUCAGCUACUGCUGCGGUGAAGCUUCAGAAGCUUUAUAGGGGUUAUCGCAUACGGUGUAGGUUAGGGGACACUGUCGUUUUGUGGCGGAAGAGCUCUAGUAAAGUUCAUGAAAUCUCACUCUCUUUUUCUCUGUUUUCAGUUCAAAGAGUAGGAUUAUUUUAGCUAGCUUUUCUUUUUAUGGAAAAUAAUAAUGUGCUGAUAUGGUAUUUAAUACAUAUAUAUUGUGUGUGACUUAUUUGGUUUCAUUGGUUUGGAUUUGAGGAUUGAGGAUAAUGAAAAAAGUUGAGAGCUUUCUCAACAGAUUUAAAUGUGCUAUGGAUUUCUACAAAUCUUAAAUAAGAUUUUUUUAAAAAAAAUUAUAAAUAUAUAUAAACUAUUUGGAUGAUUUCAAUUAUAUACACUAUAAAUUUAUAGAUUCUUUGGUUUUGGUUUCAGUUGGAUUAGAGAGAAGUGCUUUCGAAUGGGAGAACUUGAAAUAAGUAGCUCCACAGAUUAUAUUCUUUUCGUUUCUUUCUAUUGUUUGAUCUGUGGAUGGUUUGACUUGAUUAUUUCUCUUUCUAUUGUUUUCGUUUCAUUAUGGAAUUGUAAGGUAGCUGCUAUGUGCUAGGCAUUUUGAAAGUUAGCCCAUUUUAUCUUUUAAUGAAAAUGUCUGUUUCACAAUUUUUUAAUGGAAUUUAUACCCUUAAAAACCUGAAACACCUGCUGAAAGGUGGAAUCGUGUUAGCGUAAAUGCUUCUAAGGUAUGAUUUAUUUAUUUGGUUAAGGCUACAUUGGGUUUGGGUAGAUUAAACAUAACAAUUUGAGGGAAUAUAUUGGUGGGUUUUGAAUUUUUCUUGUCCUUUGCCUACUAAAAUCUGGUUCUUUGGCCUUUACAGUUGUGGAAUGGCUUUGGCAGUUGUAGAUUUUGGUACAAUGUCGCUCGAUUGUGGCUUUCGAUUGCAGCGGCUAUGUUGCGGCUUAGUAGAUUUUUAUUGAGAUUUUUUAGCACCAAGAACUACCCAUGUGGAGUUUGAUACACGGAAUAGUUGGUCAAGUCAGGCGCAACUACCUGCAGCGGAUGAUUUCUCUAUUGCUAUGGAAGAUGCAGCCCCUUCCCUUCCCUUGGUGUUCUCUUAUCUGGUGUAGUAAUUUUACAAGUUGCUAUCUCGAAGGAUUUACUUGUUUACUUGCUAUCUAGAAGUUGCUAUCUGGAAGGAUUUACUUGCUAUCUGGUUUAGGUGUUUACCUUCACAACCCGACAGCCCUUAUUGCAAUCGUAUACCCUUCAUGAUCUGGUCAAUUGGUGUUGUGAGAGUCCACACCAAUGGCAUCACAAGAGGGCUCAAUCUAUUGUAUAGCAAAUAUAAAAUGUUUGGGGAAAUACUAAUAGAUUGGUCGGAUAUAAGCCAACAUCCAACAUUGAUUUGAUUUUUAUAGAUUUGUGUAUGUUAUAAAUUUUAAAUUAUGUUAGAGAUUUUGUAUUAUCAACAAUUUACUUGUUGAAUUGUGUAUAUAUAUAUAAGUUAUUAAUUCUAUUAAAGUGAGUUUUGCUAUUUUAAUUAUUCUACAAAUAUAUAAUUAGAAAUUCUGCAUUAAUGGAAUAAUUAAAAUUAAAUAUUAAAUAUAAAUUUAGUUCGAAAAUCACAUAUAAUUCAAUUCAAAUUUAUUUUGCAACAAAAUUUCAGUAGCAAAAUUAUUAUAUUUUUAAGUACUAAAGUUGUAUUUGUUACCAAUUUUAAAGUGAUUUGCUACCAAAAUGUAGUAGCAAAAAAGUUUUAGUAGUUUUUCAAAGUAAUUAUUUUGCUACUACAUUUGACAUUUUUUGCUACAAAAA